GGACUACUGGGGUAUCUAAUCCUGUUUGCUCCCCACGCUUUCGUGCAUGAGCGUCAGUACUGGCCCAGGAGGCUGCCUUCGCCAUCGGUGUUCCUCCACAUCUCUACGCAUUUCACUGCUACACGUGGAAUUCCACCUCCCUCUGCCGUACUCUAGCUUCGCAGUCUCAAAUGCCAUUCCCAGGUUAAGCCCGGGGAUUUCACAUCUGACUUACGAAACCACCUGCGCACGCUUUACGCCCAGUAAUUCCGAUUAACGCUCGCACCCUACGUAUUACCGCGGCUGCUGGCAC
Molecule: ribosomal RNA, 292 nt
Filed under: uncultured bacterium
Lineage: Bacteria
Description: partial 16S ribosomal RNA
Source: RNAcentral